AAAAAGGAAGCAUGUUUGGAAGGUGCGGCUGGAUCACCUCCUUUCUAAGGAAAAAGGAAGCACGUUUAGCGUCUUAUUUAGUUUUGAGAGGUCUUGUGGGGCCUUAGCUCAGCUGGGAGAGCGCCUGCUAUGCACGCAGGAGGUCAGCGGUUCGAUCCCGCUAGGCUCCAUUAAAACAGGAUACUAACAGACGG
This 194-nucleotide transfer RNA is filed under the name Streptococcus equi subsp. zooepidemicus. RNAcentral describes it as "partial contains 16S ribosomal RNA and 16S-23S ribosomal RNA intergenic spacer". The stretch from base 98 to 170 matches the Rfam family "tRNA". Lineage: Bacteria; Bacillati; Bacillota; Bacilli; Lactobacillales; Streptococcaceae. The record is from RNAcentral.